GGGGGUGGUGACUUAUAGUGGUAGAGUGGUGGGGGAGAUGUCGAUGGGGGUGGUGGAGAUUGGUAGUGAUAGGGUGGUGGAGGCGACGGUGAUGGCGGGGGUGGUGACUUAUAGUGAUAAGACGGUGGAAGAGAUUUCAUUGGGGGAGGGGGAGAUUUGUAGGAGUAAGGUGGCGAAUGAGACACUGAAGGGGGAGGUGGAGGGGACUU
This 209-nucleotide unclassified non-coding RNA is filed under the name Hevea brasiliensis (rubber tree). The record is from RNAcentral. Lineage: Eukaryota; Viridiplantae; Streptophyta; Magnoliopsida; Malpighiales; Euphorbiaceae.